This 539-nucleotide ribosomal RNA is filed under the name uncultured bacterium. RNAcentral describes it as "bacterial SSU rRNA". It matches the Rfam family "Bacterial small subunit ribosomal RNA", at positions 356 to 896 of the family's 1533-position model. The record is from RNAcentral.
GAGGAAUAUUGGUCAAUGGACGGAAGUCUGAACCAGCCAAGUAGCGUGCAGGAUGACAGCCCUAUGGGUUGUAAACUGCUUUUGUAUGGGGAUAAAGUUAGGGACGUGUCCCUAUUUGCAGGUACCAUACGAAUAAGGACCGGCUAAUUCCGUGCCAGCAGCCGCGGUAAUACGGAAGGUCCAGGCGUUAUCCGGAUUUAUUGGGUUUAAAGGGAGCGUAGGCUGGAGAUUAAGUGUGUUGUGAAAUGUAGACGCUCAACGUCUGAAUUGCAGCGCAUACUGGUUUCCUUGAGUACGCACAACGUUGGCGGAAUUCGUCGUGUAGCGGUGAAAUGCUUAGAUAUGACGAAGAACUCCGAUUGCGAAGGCAGCUGACGGGAGCGCAACUGACGCUUAAGCUCGAAGGUGCGGGUAUCAAACAGGAUUAGAUACCCUGGUAGUCCGCACAGUAAACGAUGGAUGCCCGCUGUUGGUACCUGGUAUCAGCGGCUAAGCGAAAGCAUUAAGCAUCCCACCUGGGGAGUACGCCGGCAACGGUG